This 66-nucleotide transfer RNA is filed under the name Pseudopotamorites peniculus. RNAcentral's name for it is "tRNA-Pro". Lineage: Eukaryota; Metazoa; Arthropoda; Insecta; Trichoptera; Limnephilidae. The record is from RNAcentral.
CAGAAAAUAGUUUAAUAAAAAUAAUAAUUUUGGAGAUUAUUGAUAAAUGUUCCUAUUUUUUUCUGA